GACGAACGCUGGCGGCGUGCCUAACACAUGCAAGUCGAACGGAGUUGUUCCUUCGGGGACAACUUAGUGGCGAACGGGUGAGUAACGCGUGAGAAACCUGCCUUUCAGUGGGGGACAACAGUUGGAAACGACUGCUAAUACCGCAUAAUGUUAUUUGGGGCAUCCUCGAGUAACCAAAGAUUUAUUGCUGAAAGAUGGUCUCGCGUCUGAUUAGCUAGUUGGUGAGGUAACGGCUCACCAAGGCGACGAUCAGUAGCCGGUCUGAGAGGAUGAACGGCCACAGUUGGGACUGAGAUACGGCCAGACUCCUACGGGAGGCAGCA
This 323-nucleotide ribosomal RNA is filed under the name uncultured bacterium. RNAcentral describes it as "bacterial SSU rRNA". It matches the Rfam family "Bacterial small subunit ribosomal RNA", at positions 28 to 353 of the family's 1533-position model. The record is from RNAcentral.